CGGGUGCUGCCCGGUGCGUGACGGCAGCUUGGUCCCCGGGGCUAUACGCUCUCCGAGGGAGCUGUCCCUGCGCCGGCUCGUGGGCCGGAACAAACGGCGCCCACCUGACUUGUCAGGUUCCGGAGGACAACAGAGUCCGCACGGCCAUGGCGGCCCCGCC
This 160-nucleotide small RNA is filed under the name Rhodothalassium salexigens DSM 2132. Its description in RNAcentral is "6S / SsrS RNA". It matches the Rfam family "6S / SsrS RNA". From Rfam's summary of the family: E. coli 6S RNA was the first non coding RNA to be sequenced, but its function was unknown until recently. It consists of 184 nucleotides that fold into an extended hairpin structure with a large single-stranded internal bulge. The 6S RNA specifically associates with RNA polymerase holoenzyme containing the sigma70 specificity factor. The record is from Rfam by way of RNAcentral. Lineage: Bacteria; Pseudomonadati; Pseudomonadota; Alphaproteobacteria; Rhodothalassiales; Rhodothalassiaceae.